UACAGAGGGUGCAAGCGUUGUUCGGAAUUACUGGGCGUAAAGGGCGCGUAGGCGGCCUGUUAAGUCGGACGUGAAAUCCCCGGGCUCAACCCGGGAACUGCGUCCGAUACUGGCAGGCUUGAAUUCGGGAGAGGGAUGCGGAAUUCCAGGUGUAGCGGUGAAAUGCGUAGAUAUCUGGAGGAACACCGGUGGCGAAGGCGGCAUCCUGGACCGAGAUUGACGCUGAUGCGCGAAAGCCAGGGGAGCAAACGGG
Molecule: ribosomal RNA, 253 nt
Filed under: uncultured bacterium
Lineage: Bacteria
Description: partial 16S ribosomal RNA
Rfam family: Bacterial small subunit ribosomal RNA
Source: RNAcentral